This 537-nucleotide ribosomal RNA is filed under the name uncultured bacterium. RNAcentral's name for it is "bacterial SSU rRNA". It matches the Rfam family "Bacterial small subunit ribosomal RNA", at positions 102 to 674 of the family's 1533-position model. The record is from RNAcentral.
ACGGGUGAGUAACGCGUGGGAAUCUACCGUACCCUACGGAAUAGCUCUGGGAAACUGGAAGUAAUACCGUAUACGCCCUUCGGGGGAAAGAUUUAUCGGGGUAUGAUGAGCCCGCGUUGGAUUAGCUAGUUGGUGGGGUAAAGGCCUACCAAGGCGACGAUCCAUAGCUGGUCUGAGAGGAUGAUCAGCCACAUUGGGACUGAGACACGGCCCAAACUCCUACGGGAGGCAGCAGUGGGGAAUAUUGGACAAUGGGCGCAAGCCUGAUCCAGCCAUGCCGCGUGAGUGAUGAAGGUCUUAGGAUUGUAAAGCUCUUUCACCGGAGAAGAUAAUGACGGUAUCCGGAGAAGAAGCCCCGGCUAACUUCGUGCCAGCAGCCGCGGUAAUACGAAGGGGGCUAGCGUUGUUCGGAAUUACUGGGCGUAAAGCGCACGUAGGCGGGUAUUUAAGUCAGGGGUGAAAUCCCAGAGCUCAACUCUGGAACUGCCUUUGAUACUGGGUAUCUUGAGUAUGGAAGAGGUAAGUGGGAUUGCGAGU